This 484-nucleotide ribosomal RNA is filed under the name uncultured bacterium. RNAcentral's name for it is "partial 16S ribosomal RNA". It matches the Rfam family "Bacterial small subunit ribosomal RNA", at positions 29 to 507 of the family's 1533-position model. The record is from RNAcentral.
AUUGAACGCUGGCGGUAUGCUUUACACAUGCAAGUCGAACGGCAGCGCGGGCUUCGGCCUGGCGGCGAGUGGCGAACGGGUGAGUAAUACAUCGGAACGUGCCCAGUAGUGGGGGAUAGCUCGGCGAAAGCCGGAUUAAUACCGCAUACGACCUGAGGGUGAAAGCGGGGGAUCUUCGGACCUCGCGCUAUUGGAGCGGCCGAUGGCAGAUUAGCUAGUUGGUGGGGUAAAGGCCUACCAAGGCGACGAUCUGUAGCUGGUCUGAGAGGACGACCAGCCACACUGGGACUGAGACACGGCCCAGACUCCUACGGGAGGCAGCAGUGGGGAAUUUUGGACAAUGGGCGAAAGCCUGAUCCAGCAAUGCCGCGUGUGUGAUGAAGGCCUUCGGGUUGUAAAGCACUUUUGGCGGGAACGAAAAGGACUGUGCCAAUACCACGGUUCGAUGACGGUACCCGCAGAAUAAGCACCGGCUAACUACGUG